This 492-nucleotide ribosomal RNA is filed under the name uncultured bacterium. RNAcentral's name for it is "partial 16S ribosomal RNA". It matches the Rfam family "Bacterial small subunit ribosomal RNA", at positions 29 to 507 of the family's 1533-position model. The record is from RNAcentral.
AGUGAACGCUGGCGGUAGGCCUAACACAUGCAAGUCGAACGGCGGCACAGUAAGCGCUUGCUCUUACGGGUGGCGGUUAGCGGUCGGGUGAGGAAUCCAUCGGAAUCUACUUUUUCGUGGGGGAUAGCGUAGUGCAACUUACGCUAAUACGGCAUACUACCUUCUGUUUUAAGGAGGGGAUCGUCGGAGCUUGGGCUGUGUAAUGAGACGAUGUCGGAUUGGCUAGUUGGCGGGGUAAAGGCGCACCAAGGCGACGAUCCGUGGCUUGUCUGAGAGGAUGAUCAGCCACACUGGAACUGAGACACGGUCCAGACUCCUACGGGAGGCAGCAGUGGGGAAUAUUGGACAAAGGGCGCAAGCCUGAUCCAGCCAUACCGCGUGGGUGAAGAAGGCCUUCGGGUUGUAAAGCCCUUUUGUUGGGAAAGAAAAGCAGCAGGUUAAUACCCCGCUGUUCUGACGGUACCCAAAGAAUAAGCACCGGCUAACUUCGUG